UCUAUUUUGGCAGAUAAGUGCAAUAGAUUUAGGAUCUAUAAAUGUAAGUUGGUAUUACAAAUAGAA
RNAcentral lists this transfer RNA (66 nucleotides) under Niponiella limbatella. Its description in RNAcentral is "tRNA-Leu". It matches the Rfam family "tRNA". From Rfam's summary of the family: Transfer RNA (tRNA) molecules are approximately 80 nucleotides in length. Their secondary structure includes four short double-helical elements and three loops (D, anti-codon, and T loops). Lineage: Eukaryota; Metazoa; Arthropoda; Insecta; Plecoptera; Perlidae. The record is from RNAcentral.